CCUACGGGAGGCUGCAGUGAGGAAUAUUGGUCAAUGGGCGCGAGCCUGAACCAGCCAAGUAGCGUGAAGGAUGACUGCCCUACGGGUUGUAAACUUCUUUUAUAAAGGAAUAAAGUGAGGCACGUGUGCCUUUUUGUAUGUACUUUAUGAAUAAGGAUCGGCUAACUCCGUGACAACAGCCGCGGUAAGACGGAGGAGCCGAGCGUUAUCCGGAUUUAUUGGGUUUAAAGGGAGCGUAGAUGGGUUGUUAAGUCAGUUGUGCAAGUUUGCGGCUCAACCGUAAAAUUUCAGUUGAUACUGGCAGUCUUGAGUACAGUUGAGGUCGGCGGAAUUCGUUGUGUAGCCG
RNAcentral lists this ribosomal RNA (346 nucleotides) under uncultured bacterium. Its description in RNAcentral is "partial 16S ribosomal RNA". It matches the Rfam family "Bacterial small subunit ribosomal RNA", at positions 338 to 681 of the family's 1533-position model. The record is from RNAcentral.